Cottoperca gobio is the source of this 2009-nucleotide long non-coding RNA. The record is from Ensembl. NCBI's taxonomy places the organism in Eukaryota, Metazoa, Chordata, Actinopteri, Perciformes, Bovichtidae.
CCAACAGCGUACAGUACAGUUUACAGUAGAAUAGGCCAGACUUGUGACCAGUUGGAUGUUAUUACUGUUACAGCUGCAGCUCCCCUCCUCCGCUACAGUGGAGGGAAAUGUAUGUUGGAACCCCAAAAACAACACUGACUUUGAUUAUCAGGCCAGAGGGAAACUGAGAAUAGAACGACAGGAGUGCCAAGUGAGUAAAAACCAACUCAGCGUUUUAAUUGCUUAAUCUGCAGCAGUUCUGAUCAUUUUCUUUUCUUUUUAGCUUUCUGUGCAGCUCAAUGGAACGUCGGGACGAGUCGGUCUUUAUUCUUCUCUCAGACAUCCCUUCAAAUCAAAGAUUCCACAAACAUUAGAGGUGAGUCUCUUCUGUGUUUCGUCAAAUGAUUCAGUGGUCCAAAAAUGGUCAAAUGAAAAAGAAGUCUUACAACAUAUUCAGUUUGGGAAAAAAAUAAAUAACAGUCUCUGUCAGGGUCUUUUAGCAUGUGAGCUUUCUUAGCUAUCUUCUCAUUUUACUGAUUUUACGUUAAGGUAAAGGCCACUGCAGACGUUUUUGCAGUGGCUGGCACAGGAAGUAGCUCAGUACAUGUGAGGGCUGAUGGGAAGGACAGGGUGAAACUGGACACCCAGAUGUCCCACUCCUUCCAGAGGGGAGCCAGAGCCGUGGGACUGAGGGUGAACGUAUCCCAGAGCCUGCUGCCUUCGGCCACUGACCUGCAUAUCAACAUGGCUGCCAACAUUACCUCGGACAGGUAUCAUUUUUUGUCAGAUAUCACAGAUCUACAGUGACGAUAAUAUAUGUAAUAAACAAUGUUGAAUGUCUCUUUAUGGACUUUUGAACUCAUUGCAUUACUGUGCUCUGUCUCCUCCAGCGUGUCUCUACAUGGCUCCUAUACACAGGGGCACGAGGCUCUACUGGCUCAGGUCAAAGGGUCUCUUAAAGACACCCGGGGCCUCCAGCUGGCUGUGUCCGGGGACCUGAGGCACUCUAUGGCCAACCUUGCUAUUUUGCCUCCAGUCCUGGGCUUAGACGGGCUGCUGGGACACUCUGACACCCUCAUUGAAGGACAGCUGAGAGUUAGAGUGAUGGAGACCUUGUACAGUGUGGAGCUGAGACAUCAGGAGGAACCCGGAGAGUCUUCAGACAGAGAAGAUGAAGAGGGCAUGAUGGGAAAGAAAUUUCAUGUGGCCCGUGAUUGGCUGUGUGUUUGGUCAGGGGCGGAGCAUUUGUGCGUGAAUGCAAGCCGCCGACUUGGGAAUGGAGGGACGGGUGAGGUCUACACCAGACUAUCUCACUCCUUCCACCUGCUCAAUGCCACAGGUAAAUCAUUACUUUAUACAUAUACACAGAAUAAUGUGUCCUGGAGUCUCAGUGUCUGUGUCUUCUGGAUACAGGUGUACCUGCCAGCAGUGAUGCCCAGGCGAGGUGGGCCCAGGAUGGCGGUCGACUGUCAGUCCUUGCAGAGCUGCACGCUGGACCAGAACAUCUAAAAGCUGAGUUUAAUGGAGGCAAGACAGACCAGGUAACACCACGAUGGGAGUACUUCUCCAGGCUGCAGCAUCAAGUCAAAGCCCUGCUGAAAAGAGGUGUAUCAAGCUCCAUACAAGCCGAAGCACAUUAUCAGGUGCAGGACUAUCUUCUAUUUUCCUAUCCCUAGCAAGUUCAUAUUUCAUUUACAAGCGUAGAUGCAUCAAUCUGUUGUCUUUCCUCUAUCGUUAUUUGUUACGUUUUUCUUCCCACUGUUAGUUAGAAGCAGGAGGCCUGGACACAGGCUUGGUCCUUCACAUGGGAGACGAGAGAAUGGUUGACAUCGUCUUUAAUGUCGGAUUGAAAAACAGCACAGCUAUAUUGGUAGUGUCUCUAUGGCAACAGAUGAAGCUGCUCCAGGAAGUCAUACCCACCUCUUUACAGGUGAACUUAACAUCACUUACACAAACAUUAGAACUCUGGCUGUGUCUUUAUUCAUCUUAACCCAUGAUCUUUAGUUGUAGAGCAUUGUGUUUAAGUCUUA